GUCCGGAUGGCUCAGUGAUCAGUGCAUCUGCCUAGUAAGCAGAAGAUCUGGGUUCGAAUCUCAGUCCGGCACA
Non-coding RNA from Schistocerca nitens (vagrant locust), 73 nucleotides. NCBI's taxonomy places the organism in Eukaryota, Metazoa, Arthropoda, Insecta, Orthoptera, Acrididae. The record is from the annotation of a RefSeq genome assembly.